UACGUAGGGGGCAAGCGUUAUCCGGAUUUACUGGGUGUAAAGGGAGCGUAGACGGUAAUGUAAGUCUGAUGUGAAAGCCCCCGGCUUAACCGAGGAAUUGCAUCGGAAACUGUGUUUCUUGAGUGCAGAAGAGGACAGUGGAACUCCAUGUGUAGCGGUGGAAUGCGUAGAUAUAUGGAAGAACACCAGUGGCGAAGGCGGCUGUCUGGUCUGCAACUGACGCUGAGGCUCGAAAGCAUGGGUAGCGAACAGG
This 253-nucleotide ribosomal RNA is filed under the name uncultured Lactobacillus sp. RNAcentral's name for it is "partial 16S ribosomal RNA". It matches the Rfam family "Bacterial small subunit ribosomal RNA", at positions 524 to 776 of the family's 1533-position model. The record is from RNAcentral. Lineage: Bacteria; Bacillati; Bacillota; Bacilli; Lactobacillales; Lactobacillaceae.